Long non-coding RNA from Epinephelus fuscoguttatus (brown-marbled grouper), 1049 nucleotides. RefSeq lists it as uncharacterized. The record is from RefSeq and is a predicted model, not a curated record. The transcript has 3 exons. Lineage: Eukaryota; Metazoa; Chordata; Actinopteri; Perciformes; Serranidae.
GUACGACUGGAAUAAAAAAAGAUCCCUCAUUCUAUCAAAAAUACAAAAGCUAUUUCCAGACACAAAUGUACACUAACUUCUCAAGCAGUAAUCUUAUUUUGUUAUUUUUUUUUAUUCCUUUAUUUGAUGUUUGUUUAACCAGGUAAGUCCCACUGACACUGGAAACCUCUUUCGCAGAGAAGACCUGGGUAUGACAGUGGAAUAAAAGUUGCAAAGAGAGAAUGGAGUCAUUUAUUAUAGAGUUUACAAUGGUCUCGACUUCUGCCAGAGAUAUCAGAUUCAUCAGUUUAAUUUCCUUUUGCAGAUUAUUCCAAGUGGGUAGAGCAGAGGACAUGACGGCUCUCUGUCCCUACAGUUUGAGCAGACUGACACUGAGUACAACACCAACACUGAUGGAAACCAACAGCAAGGAGCAUAAAGUUCAUGGUCCAACAUGACAGACUAUAGUUGAAGAUAUUAGAGCUCAGCUUGUCAACAUGAAGCAUCCACACAUAUGGAGCACCACACACAGAUAUGCAUGACUGAUCGCUCCCCCUACCAGGACAAAUAAACCCUACAACCCCCACCCAGCAACGUAUGGCGGCAACCAGCUGUCAGUUCAUUAGAGAGGAAAGGAGGAGGAAAAAGAAGAGGAGGGAGGAGAGCGAAGGGGAGGCUGAUCGGAAAUUACAGCAGGAGGAAAUGACCCAGCAUGAUGACUGUGGUGGUGCCGCUGGAGGUGAUGAUAUCACUCUCAUUGUACUGUAAACAGCUGUUAUCGAGGAAGAUAUUAAACUUUGAGUCACAAUGUGUGAUCACAGUGCUUACAAGUACAAGACGGUCUUUGACAGAUUCACACGAUGCUUGUAUAAUAUAGGCGCACUGUCCAUGAAAGAUAAAGUCUAUAUUGAAAUAGAUUAAAAAAACAUAAUGACAAGUUCAAAACAGUGCAAUAUAUGGAAGGUCUCUGCACUUCUUAGACUUUUUAUAUGAACUCAUUGUCAUGUUCAAGACACCAGUUGGAGAUAGUUUGAGCUUUGUCACAUGGUGCGUUAUCCUGCUGGUGUUUA